This is a long non-coding RNA of Homo sapiens (human), 2195 nucleotides long. Ensembl annotates it as long intergenic non-protein coding RNA 3104. The record is from Ensembl. Lineage: Eukaryota; Metazoa; Chordata; Mammalia; Primates; Hominidae.
UAAAUUUAUGUAAUUUGACAAUUAAUCUACCUCAUGUGCUUGCAGAUAUGUAUUCAUUUCCUACCACCGUAGUGGAAGAGAGAUUUUCCCUAUCUUUACAACUGAUAGCAUUUCCAACAGUAAGCUGUGAGAUUCUGCUUGAAAUCACCUCUCAAACAAAUAAAAAACAGACCUGGGAGACAUGCUACACUCAUUCUGCUGAGGAAAUAGGCAUCAUAGCUGGGAAACGGAUUCACAAGACCCAGGCUGUUCCCUACAUAUGUUUCCUCCUCCGACAUCAGUUCAUCAGUCAAUCAAGCCAUGUGAGAGUGGAGGCCUUGUAUUCCCUAUUAUUCUUGGGCACUCUACUCCAAGUAGGAAAAGGCCAGGAGGUCCUGUUAAAGGAUGCACUCAGAGCCCGGGCUCCCUAACAUAUGAGAGUGCUAACCAGCAGGUGUAGACUUUUCAGGAGUGAAGAAUGAGGCAGGCAUUCCAAACCUGGACCUUCAUCACCUUUUGUUUCAUCUCAAGACAAUUCUGAGGGACUGUUUUGGAGCGUGUCUGGAAGGUGAACCUUGAAGAAGAGUGUGGGCUUUGAUGUGACUCAGUUGAGAUCUUUCAUGGGGAGGCAGGAAUUCAAUGCCCAGAAUCUGGGCUGGUGUCUUUGAGGUCAGUAGGUUGCGUCUUUGUAUCCAAGUCCAUUGUUACUAGGUUGGAGGCUGGAGAUUCUAAAUGGCUUCCAGACCAUCUCUCUGAUUCUCUUUGGGAGAUGGGGUCUGAAAGACAAUGUCAGUAGUUUUGGGAAAUUCUAGAAAGUGUGCUUGGAAACGUGGGAAGAGCUCUUGCCUAGUGCCUAAAUGCUCCAUUUGCAGCUCUAGCCAAGUAGAUACUUGGUAGGUAUAGAGCCGGGUUUGCGUUUAUAUCAGCAAAACCUAUGUCAGAGUUGAAGAAGUAGUCAGGAAAAAGCGUCUUGGUCGCAGGCCGGGGAACAUCUUAAAAGCAAACUUCUAGCCUGCUGACUCUUGGCAAUGAGUGUUGGAUCCUGGCUAAAGUGCCUUGAAUGCAGCAUGAGGCCAAUCCAUGAAUCCAACUUCUCAUGGAGAAAUGUUAAUAUUUUUUCAGUUUGAAUCAAUCAGGGUGAAACUACCAUGCUAUUGGUUUGCUUACUUUUUAUUAUUUCAUGUAAAAUCUAAGACAAAAUACAUUAAAUGCUUAUUGACAUAUGUAUUUAUUCUUCACCAGGCUGAUAAUAUCUGCCUAAUUUUAAACUUUCUUCCAUUUUGUAGGUUUCAACUUAUUCUAUUGUAAGAUACUGUUAAAUCUAAUAGAGGCAUUGUCACUUUUACGUAUAAUUUUAUUUUAUUUCAUAUAUUUCCUAUUGGCUUUUUACAUUUAAAUUAUGGAGCACUUCAUCAUAUAAAAAACUUCAAUUAUAUUUAAACAGUAAGUCUUUGGAUUUUUUUGCCUUGUAAUUUCCAUAUUACAUAAUAAUGAGAUAAACAUUAAUGUUUUCAGGGUACUUUAAAUUUUAGAUAAUUACUCAUUGUAUUCAUGUGAAAUUUGUUUUUACUGCAUGUGUGGGUUGGAGGACUGUUUUCACUUCUGAUUCAUCUUUACUCUUAUCUCAUCAGAGCUCAUACCUCUUGUAGUUGGGGGAUUGCAGUUUAUAAUUCCAAUAAAUGGGGCAAAUUCAAUAAUAACAUAAUACAAAUGAGUUUGAAUGCAGGACAGGUCUUCAAAGCAUACACAACAUGGGCCUACAUAUGUACAACAAUAAUAAUUUAUAAGUUACUGUUUGGAUGGAAAGUAAAAGUACAGAAAAUUUGUUAAAGGAAAUUAAAAUGGAGAUCAUGUCUCAAUAAUCUCUGAGCAGACAAAAUUAGUUAGGUCUCAUAAGUGAUCUCAACCUCGCUUGAUUUGCAAAUACAAACAAAACUUAAAUUAUUUCUUGUAGCUGCAUAUUGAAAAAAGAGAAAUGAAGCUCAACCAGUCAGAAGUAGCCAACAACCUUAUAUAAAUAGAAACUGUCCAACAAGGUAAACAGACAAACAAAAAACAAUAAAAAAAGUUGUGCUACCACCAAAUGAUUUCUUUGUUUCUACAUUUUUCAAAUAAAUACUUGCUUCUUACACUGUCAAUGAAGCACUCAAUAUCUUUCCGUCUGAUAUUUUAUAAUUUAUCAAUUGCUCUUACUCAAAUAAACACUUUGCAAUUUC